RNAcentral lists this ribosomal RNA (439 nucleotides) under uncultured bacterium. Its description in RNAcentral is "partial 16S ribosomal RNA". It matches the Rfam family "Bacterial small subunit ribosomal RNA", at positions 339 to 795 of the family's 1533-position model. The record is from RNAcentral.
CUACGGGUGGUUCCAGUGGGGAAUAUUGCACAAUGGGGGAAACCCUGAUGCAGCAACGCCGCGUGGAGGAUGACGCAUUUCGGUGUGUAAACUCCUUUUAUAUAGGAAGAUAAUGACGGUACUAUAUGAAUAAGCACCGGCUAACUCCGUGCCAGCAGCCGCGGUAAUACGGAGGGUGCAAGCGUUACUCGGAAUCACUGGGCGUAAAGCGCGCGCAGGCGGCCCCUUAAGUUGGAUGUGAAAGCCUACGGCUUAACCGUAGAACUGCAUCCAAAACUGAGGGGCUAGAGUCUGGGAGGGGAAGAUGGAAUUAGUUGUGUAGGGGUAAAAUCCGUAGAGAUAACUAGGAAUACCAAAAGCGAAGGCGAUCUUCUGGAACAGUACUGACGCUGAGGCGCGAAAGCGUGGGGAGCAAACAGGAUUAGAUACCCCCGUAGUC